AACGAACGCUGGCGGCGUGUUUAAGACAUGCAAGUCGCACGGGGCAACAUGAGUAGUAAUACGAUUGUUGUUCAGUGGCGCACGGGUGAGUAACACGUGAAUUACAUGCCCUUCAGUGGGGAAUAGCCCAGGGAAACUUGGAUUAAUACCCCAUGGUAUCGCAAGAUUAAAGGUGGCCAGCAAUGGCUGUCGCUGAAGGAUUGGUUCGCGCCCUAUCAGCUUGUUGGCGGGAUAACGGCCCACCAAGGCUACGACGGGUACCUGGUCUGAGAGGACGAUCAGGCACACUGGAACUGAGACACGGUCCAGACACCUACGGGUGGCAGCAGUCGAGAAUAAUUCACAAUGGGGGCAACCCUGAUGGUGCAACGCCGCGUGGAGGAUGAACGGUCUUCGGAUUGUAAAACUCCUGUCAUCUGGGAGUAAGGCAUGGUUGUUAAUAGCAAACAUGAUUGAUAGUAACCAGAAGAGGAAGGGACGGCUAACUUCGUGCCA
Molecule: ribosomal RNA, 495 nt
Filed under: uncultured bacterium
Lineage: Bacteria
Description: bacterial SSU rRNA
Rfam family: Bacterial small subunit ribosomal RNA
Source: RNAcentral